Molecule: ribosomal RNA, 440 nt
Filed under: Serratia symbiotica
Lineage: Bacteria; Pseudomonadati; Pseudomonadota; Gammaproteobacteria; Enterobacterales; Yersiniaceae
Description: bacterial SSU rRNA
Rfam family: Bacterial small subunit ribosomal RNA
Source: RNAcentral
CUCAGAUUGAACGCUGGCGGCAGGCCUAACACAUGCAAGUCGAGCGGUAGCACAAGAGAGCUUGCUCUCUGGGUGACGAGCGGCGGACGGGUGAGUAAUGUCUGGGAAACUGCCUGAUGGCGGGGGAUAACUAGUGGAAACGGUAGCUAAUACCGCAUAACGUCGCAAGACCAAAGUGGGGGACCUUCGGGCCUCACGCCAUCAGAUGUGCCCAGGUGGGAUUAGCUGGUAGGUGGGGUAACGGCUCACCUAGGCGACGAUCCCUAGCUGGUCUGAGAGGAUGACCAGCCACACUGGAACUGAGACACGGUCCAGACUCCUACGGGAGGCAGCAGUGGGGAAUAUUGCACAAUGGGCGCAAGCCUGAUGCAGCCAUGCCGCGUGUGUGAAGAAGGCCUUCGGGUUGUAAAGCACUUUCAGCGAGGAGGAAGGGUAAUGUG